Molecule: ribosomal RNA, 265 nt
Filed under: uncultured archaeon
Lineage: Archaea
Description: partial 16S ribosomal RNA
Rfam family: Archaeal small subunit ribosomal RNA
Source: RNAcentral
ACACGACUACAUUAGAUACCCGGGUAGUCCUAGCCGUAAACGAUACUCGCUAGGUGUCGGCCACGGUGCGACCGUUGUCGGUGUCGUAGGGAAGCCGUGAAGCGAGCCACCUGGGAAGUACGGCCGCAAGGCUGAAACUUAAAGGAAUUGGCGGGGGAGCACAACAACGGGUGGAGCUUGCGGUUUAAUUGGAUUCAACGCCGGAAAUCUCACCGGGACCGACAGCAACAUGAAGGCCAAGCUGAAGACUUUGCCGGAUUAGCUG